RNAcentral lists this ribosomal RNA (499 nucleotides) under uncultured bacterium. RNAcentral describes it as "bacterial SSU rRNA". It matches the Rfam family "Bacterial small subunit ribosomal RNA", at positions 28 to 528 of the family's 1533-position model. The record is from RNAcentral.
GAUGAACGCUAGCUACAGGCUUAACACAUGCAAGUCGAGCGGUUUGUGCUUUUGCACAUUCAGCGGCAGACGGGUGAGUAACACGUAUCUAACCUUCCCCUUACUUGGGCAUAGCCUCUGGAAACGGAGAUUAAUUUCCGAUGUGGUGUACAUUUCGCAUGUUUUGCGCACCAAAGAUUUAUCGGUAGUAGAUGGGCAUGCGUUCCAUUAGCUUGUUGGUGAGGUAACGGCUCACCAAGGCAACGAUGGAUAGGGGAACUGAGAGGUUGAUCCCCACACUGGAACUGAGACACGGUCCAGACUCCUACGGGAGGCAGCAGUGAGGAAUAUUGGUCAAUGGACGAGAGUCUGAACCAGCCAAGUCGCGUGAAGGAAGACGGCCCUACGGGUGUAAACUUCUUUUGUAAAGGGAAUAAAUAGUCUUAACGCGCUAAGACGUUGCAGGUACCUUACGAAUAAGGAUCGGGCUAAACUCCGUGCCAGCAGCCGGGUAAAACUA